CGUUUGCAUCUGUUGUUUUAUGUGCUGCAUUUGUCAAUAUCUAUGCCCACGGAGGGCGGCUACAAUGGAGAUGAAGACGGAUACAAGACAGAUUACGACGAAUACGAGACUACAGAGGCUGUAGCUCUACCUACCAAAAAAGGAACCACACGAAGGUUAAACAACCGUGGAAAAAAUAAAAAGGAAAAGGAAUAUACUGAUAUACAACAGUUCCUUAACACAACUGAGAAAAUAUGGGUAUACCAAAGCACUGAAAGAACUAAGGAAACAUGCAAGGUGGACGAUAUUGUUUACGUAUAUGAGCUCGGUGCCUGCAUAACCAGGUAUCACACGUCUAAAGGAUCUGUGAAUAAAACUUCUGCUGAGGUCCAGUUCACAUUUCAUCGGGCUACUAAAGAUUCCAGCCACCCUUACAAUGAAAUGACAGUUCUAAAGGAAGGCA
Dermacentor silvarum is the source of this 442-nucleotide long non-coding RNA. RefSeq lists it as uncharacterized. The record is from RefSeq and is a predicted model, not a curated record. NCBI's taxonomy places the organism in Eukaryota, Metazoa, Arthropoda, Arachnida, Ixodida, Ixodidae. The transcript is spliced from 3 exons.